UACGUAGGGCGCAAGCGUUGUCCGGAAUUAUUGGGCGUAAGGAGCUCGUAGGCGGUUUGUCGCGUCUGCUGUGAAAACCUAAGGCUCAACCUUGGGCUUGCAGUGGGUACGGGCAGACUAGAGUGAUGUAGGGGAGACUGGAAUUCCUGGUGUAGCGGUGAAAUGCGCAGAUAUCAGGAGGAACACCGAUGGCGAAGGCAGGUCUCUGGGCAUUAACUGACGCUGAGGAGCGAAAGCAUGGGGAGCGAACAGG
RNAcentral lists this ribosomal RNA (253 nucleotides) under uncultured bacterium. RNAcentral's name for it is "partial 16S ribosomal RNA". It matches the Rfam family "Bacterial small subunit ribosomal RNA", at positions 524 to 776 of the family's 1533-position model. The record is from RNAcentral.